GGCGGCGCUGGCGCUGGCCUGGGCGUACCCGUUUAUGAAGCGGGUGACCAACCUGCCGCAGUUCGUGCUGGGCGCCGCGU
Molecule: transfer RNA, 80 nt
Filed under: Serratia marcescens
Lineage: Bacteria; Pseudomonadati; Pseudomonadota; Gammaproteobacteria; Enterobacterales; Yersiniaceae
Description: tRNA-His(atg)
Source: RNAcentral